UUCGUAGUGACCUGCGGAAGGAUCAUUA
This 28-nucleotide ribosomal RNA is filed under the name Boletus pinophilus. Its description in RNAcentral is "partial 18S ribosomal RNA". Lineage: Eukaryota; Fungi; Basidiomycota; Agaricomycetes; Boletales; Boletaceae. The record is from RNAcentral.